This 497-nucleotide ribosomal RNA is filed under the name uncultured bacterium. RNAcentral describes it as "partial 16S ribosomal RNA". It matches the Rfam family "Bacterial small subunit ribosomal RNA", at positions 28 to 507 of the family's 1533-position model. The record is from RNAcentral.
GAUGAACGCUGGCGGCGUGCCUAAUACAUGCAAGUCGAGCGAACAGACGAGGAGCUUUCUCCUCUGACGUUAGCGGCGGACGGGUGAGUAACACGUGGAUAACCUACCUAUAAGACUGGGAUAACUUCGGGAAACCGGAGCCAAUACCGGCUAAUAUAUUGAACCGCAUGGUUCAAUAGUGAAAGACGGUUUUGCUGUCACUUAUAGAUGGAUCCGCGCCGCAUUAGCUAGUUGGUAAGGUAACGGCUUACCAAGGCAACGAUGCGUAGCCGACCUGAGAGGGUGAUCGGCCACACUGGAACUGAGACACGGUCCAGACUCCUACGGGAGGCAGCAGUAGGGAAUCUUCCGCAAUGGGCGAAAGCCUGACGGAGCAACGCCGCGUGAGUGAUGAAGGUCUUCGGAUCGUAAAACUCUGUUAUUAGGGAAGAACAAAUGUGUAAGUAACUAUGCACGUCUUGACGGUACCUAAUCAGAAAGCCACGGCUAACUACGUG